Molecule: non-coding RNA, 90 nt
Organism: Podospora appendiculata
Lineage: Eukaryota; Fungi; Ascomycota; Sordariomycetes; Sordariales; Podosporaceae
Source: the annotation of a GenBank genome assembly
GGUCUGGUGGUCUAGCGGUAUGAUUCUCGCUUAGGGUACACUCUAAACAUUGUCUGCGAGAGGUCCCGGGUUCAAUCCCCGGCCAGACCC